This 486-nucleotide ribosomal RNA is filed under the name uncultured bacterium. Its description in RNAcentral is "bacterial SSU rRNA". It matches the Rfam family "Bacterial small subunit ribosomal RNA", at positions 32 to 524 of the family's 1533-position model. The record is from RNAcentral.
AAUCAACGCUGGCGGCGUGCCUAACACAUGCAAGUCGAGCGAGAAAGGGUAGCAAUACCUGAGUAAAGCGGCGCACGGGUGAGUAACACGUGGGUAAUCUGCCUUAGAGUGGGGAAUAACACCGGGAAACCGGUGCUAAUACCGCAUACGAUCACGAUGUCUGCGGAUGUCGUGAUGAAAGGAGCAAUUCGCUCUUGGAGGAGCCCGCGGCUGAUUAGCUAGUUGGUGAGGUAAUGGCUCACCAAGGCAACGAUCAGUAGCCGGUCUGAGAGGACGGUCGGCCACACUGGAACUGAGACACGGUCCAGACUCCUACGGGAGGCAGCAGUGGGGAAUUUUUCGCAAUGGGGGCAACCCUGACGAAGCAACGCCGCGUGGAUGAUGAAGUAUCUCGGUACGUAAAAUCCUUUCGACGGGGAAGAACCGCAAGGUUGACGGUACCGUAGAAGAAGCCCCGGCUAACUCCGUGCCAGCCGCCGCCGUAAC